RNAcentral lists this microRNA (23 nucleotides) under Macaca fascicularis (crab-eating macaque). RNAcentral describes it as "novel_miR37-3p". Lineage: Eukaryota; Metazoa; Chordata; Mammalia; Primates; Cercopithecidae. The record is from RNAcentral.
CUAGUGAUCUGUGUUUACCAACU